RNAcentral lists this ribosomal RNA (945 nucleotides) under Triticum aestivum (bread wheat). Its description in RNAcentral is "partial small subunit ribosomal RNA". Lineage: Eukaryota; Viridiplantae; Streptophyta; Magnoliopsida; Poales; Poaceae. The record is from RNAcentral.
AUGGUGGGGGGCAAUAGUGUCAUAUUAUGUUUGUAUGUGGACGACAUACUGAUCUUUGGUACAAACAUUAAUGCAAUUAAUGAGGUCAAGUCUUUUCUAUCAAAAAGUUUUGACAUGAAAGAUCUGGGAGAAGCCGAUGUAAUUCUAAACAUCAAACUUAUUAAGGAUGUGAGUGGGAUUACAUUAACGCAAUCUCACUAUGUUGAGAAGGUCUUGAACCGAUUCGGUUUUAUGGAUAGCAAGCCUUCUCCAACACCUUAUGAUCCCAGCGUGACACUCAGAAAGAACAAGAAAGAAACGAGAGAUCAAUUAAGAUACUCUCAAAUUGUCGGUUCACUCAUGUACUUAGCUAGCGCUACAAGACCAGAUAUCUCUUUUGCUGUGAGCAAACUGAGUAGGUUCAUGUCCAACCCGGGUGAUGAUCAUUGGCAUGCACUAGAAAGGGUCUUGCGCUAUCUGAGAGGUACUAUGAGUUACGGAAUUACUUAUUCAGGGCAUCCUGCUGUGCUAGAAGGAUAUAGUGAUUCAAAUUGGAUCUCCGAUGUUGAUGUACUUUAUGCAACAAGUGGGUAUGUAUUUACUCAUGGUGGUGGCGCAGUGUCAUGGAGGUCUUGCAAGCAAACCAUAUUGACGAGGUCAACUAUGGAAGCAGAAUUAACUGCUUUGGACACAGCUACUGUUGAGGCAGAAUGGCUGCGUGAGCUCUUGAUGGACUUGCCGGUUGUUGAAAAACCUGUACCGGCUAUUCUUAUGAAUUGUGAAACCAAACGCGUGAAAAGACGUUUGAAGUCUGUCAGGAAGUUGAGAAACUCCGGAGUAAUAACUGUUACGUAUAUACAAACAGACAAAAACCUGGCAGAUCCCUUUACAAAGGGACAAUCACGAAAUGUGAUAGAUAUUGCAUCGAGGGAGAUGGGUAUGAGACCCAUAGAUGUUACACCAUAG